RNAcentral lists this ribosomal RNA (1255 nucleotides) under Bacillus sp. (in: firmicutes). RNAcentral describes it as "bacterial SSU rRNA". It matches the Rfam family "Bacterial small subunit ribosomal RNA", at positions 134 to 1375 of the family's 1533-position model. The record is from RNAcentral. Lineage: Bacteria; Bacillati; Bacillota; Bacilli; Caryophanales; Bacillaceae.
AAGACUGGGAUAACUCCGGGAAACCGGGGCUAAUACCGGAUGGUUGUUUGAACCGCAUGGUUCAGACAUAAAAGGUGGCUUCGGCUACCACUUACAGAUGGACCCGCGGCGCAUUAGCUAGUUGGUGAGGUAACGGCUCACCAAGGCGACGAUGCGUAGCCGACCUGAGAGGGUGAUCGGCCACACUGGGACUGAGACACGGCCCAGACUCCUACGGGAGGCAGCAGUAGGGAAUCUUCCGCAAUGGACGAAAGUCUGACGGAGCAACGCCGCGUGAGUGAUGAAGGUUUUCGGAUCGUAAAGCUCUGUUGUUAGGGAAGAACAAGUGCCGUUCAAAUAGGGCGGCACCUUGACGGUACCUAACCAGAAAGCCACGGCUAACUACGUGCCAGCAGCCGCGGUAAUACGUAGGUGGCAAGCGUUGUCCGGAAUUAUUGGGCGUAAAGGGCUCGCAGGCGGUUUCUUAAGUCUGAUGUGAAAGCCCCCGGCUCAACCGGGGAGGGUCAUUGGAAACUGGGGAACUUGAGUGCAGAAGAGGAGAGUGGAAUUCCACGUGUAGCGGUGAAAUGCGUAGAGAUGUGGAGGAACACCAGUGGCGAAGGCGACUCUCUGGUCUGUAACUGACGCUGAGGAGCGAAAGCGUGGGGAGCGAACAGGAUUAGAUACCCUGGUAGUCCACGCCGUAAACGAUGAGUGCUAAGUGUUAGGGGGUUUCCGCCCCUUAGUGCUGCAGCUAACGCAUUAAGCACUCCGCCUGGGGAGUACGGUCGCAAGACUGAAACUCAAAGGAAUUGACGGGGGCCCGCACAAGCGGUGGAGCAUGUGGUUUAAUUCGAAGCAACGCGAAGAACCUUACCAGGUCUUGACAUCCUCUGACAAUCCUAGAGAUAGGACGUCCCCUUCGGGGGCAGAGUGACAGGUGGUGCAUGGUUGUCGUCAGCUCGUGUCGUGAGAUGUUGGGUUAAGUCCCGCAACGAGCGCAACCCUUGAUCUUAGUUGCCAGCAUUCAGUUGGGCACUCUAAGGUGACUGCCGGUGACAAACCGGAGGAAGGUGGGGAUGACGUCAAAUCAUCAUGCCCCUUAUGACCUGGGCUACACACGUGCUACAAUGGACAGAACAAAGGGCAGCGAAACCGCGAGGUUAAGCCAAUCCCACAAAUCUGUUCUCAGUUCGGAUCGCAGUCUGCAACUCGACUGCGUGAAGCUGGAAUCGCUAGUAAUCGCGGAUCAGCAUGCCGCGGUGAAUACGUUCCC